UCCCGCGUAGCUUAAUUGGAAAAGCGCCGGUCUACGAAGCCGGUAAAUGGAGGUUCGAGUCCUCCCGAGGGAG
RNAcentral lists this transfer RNA (73 nucleotides) under marine sediment metagenome. Its description in RNAcentral is "tRNA-Arg". It matches the Rfam family "tRNA". From Rfam's summary of the family: Transfer RNA (tRNA) molecules are approximately 80 nucleotides in length. Their secondary structure includes four short double-helical elements and three loops (D, anti-codon, and T loops). The record is from RNAcentral.